RNAcentral lists this ribosomal RNA (500 nucleotides) under uncultured bacterium. Its description in RNAcentral is "bacterial SSU rRNA". It matches the Rfam family "Bacterial small subunit ribosomal RNA", at positions 28 to 517 of the family's 1533-position model. The record is from RNAcentral.
GAUGAACGCUAGCUACAGGCUUAACACAUGCAAGUCGAGGGGCAGCAUGAUUGAAGCUUGCUUCAAUUGAUGGCGACCGGCGCACGGGUGAGUAACACGUAUCCAACCUUCCGUACACUCAGGGAUAGCCUUUCGAAAGAAAGAUUAAUACCUGAUGGUAUCUUAAGCACACAUGUAAUUAAGAUUAAAGAUUUAUCGGUGUACGAUGGGGAUGCGUUCCAUUAGGUAGUAGGCGGGGUAACGGCCCACCUAGCCUACGAUGGAUAGGGGUUCUGAGAGGAAGGUCCCCCACAUUGGAACUGAGACACGGUCCAAACUCCUACGGGAGGCAGCAGUGAGGAAUAUUGGUCAAUGGACGAGAGUCUGAACCAGCCAAGUAGCGUGCAGGAUGACGGCCCUAUGGGUUGUAAACUGCUUUUAUAAGGGAAUAAAGUGAGUCUCGUGAGACUUUUUGCAUGUACCUUAUGAAUAAGGACCGGCUAAUUCCGUGCCAGCAGCCG